ACAUGCGUGAAAACGGUAAGCCCGCGAACUGAAACAUCUAAGUAGCGGGAGGAAAAGAAAGUAAAAACGAUUCCCUGAGUAGCGGCGAGCGAACGGGGAGGAGCCUAAACCGUGCCAGUGCCAAGCGGACAGCGUUGCUGGCACGGGGUUGUGGGACUUCCAUCAGCGGAUUGUCAUAAUGCUUAAGCCGCAUAUGUGUAAGUGGAACCAGCUGGGAAGCUGGACCGAAGAAGGUGAUAGUCCUGUAGAACAUAAAGCGUAUGUGGAGACUGGAAGCACCCGAGUAGCGUCAGGCACGAGGAAUCUGGCGUGAAUCAGCGUGGACCAAAUCACGCAAGGCUAAAUACUGCUGUUGACCGAUAGUGAAGAGUACCGUGAGGGAAAGGUGAAAAGAACCCUGAGCAAGGGAGUGAAACAGAAUUUGAAACCGUGUGCUUACAAACGGUAGGAGCACUUUAUGUGUGACUGCGUGGAUUUUGGUUAAUCAUCCUGCGAGUUAUGGCUGGUGGCAAGGUUAAUAGAACGGAGCCGAAGGGAAACCGAGUCUUAACAGGGCGACAAGUCGCCAGCCAUAGACGCGAAACCUAGUGAUCUAGGCCUGUCCAGGCUGAAGCUGAGGUAAGACUCAGUGGAGGGCCGAACUCACCGCCGUUGAAAAGUUGGGAGAUGAGAUAGGUCUAGGGGUGAAAAGCCAAUCGAACUAGGAGAUAGCUCGUUCUCUCCGAAAUGCAUUUAGGUGCAGCCUUGGCAUGAAGAUAUGCGGGGGUAGAGCUCUGUAUGGUCUAGGGGGCGUACUGCUUACCGAAAUCAAGCAAACUGCGAAUACCGCAUAUUAAUAGCCAGGAGUGAGUCCGUGGAUGACAAGGUCCUCGGACGAGAGGGGAACAGCCCAGACCGCCAGCUAAGGUCCCUAAUUAUGUCUAAGUGGGAAAGGAGGUGGAUAUUCACAGACAACCAGGAGGUUGGCUUAGAAGCAGCCAUGCCUUGAAAGAGUGCGUAAUAGCUCACUGGUCGAGAGUAUCUGCGCCGAAGAUGUAACGGGGCUAAGACAUAAACCGAAGCUGCGGAGGCGUGCUUGCACGCCUGGUAGGAGAGCGUUCUGUAGGCCGUUGAAGGAAUGCCGCAAGGCCAUUCUGGAGGUAUCAGAAGUGAGAAUGCAGGAAUGAGUAGCGAGAAGGCGGGCGAGAAUCCCGCCGGCCGGAAGUCCAAGGUUUCCAGGGGAAGGUUUGUCCGCCCUGGGGGAGUCGGGACCUAAGCAUAAGCAAAAAUGUGAUGGCGAAUGGAAAACAGGUUAAUAUUCCUGUACCGCUGUUAUCGCCUGAGAGACGGAGUAACGCAGGAAGGUAUGCGGGAAGGCUGACGGAAUAGCCUUUCUAAGGGCGUAGCAUGGGCAUGCAGGAAAAUCCGCAUGCCUAAAUGUGAGACCUGACGGGUAAGUGCAUCUUGCAUAAGCCGCAGAUCCUACACUGCCGAGAAAAACUUCUAUCGAUGAGAACCAGCGCCCGUACUGUAAACCGACACAGGUGGACAGAGUGAGAAACUUAAGGCCGACAGGAUAACUCUAGCUAAGGAACUCUGCAAAAUGGCCCCGUAACUUCGGGAGAAGGGGUGCCUGACAUACCUGAAGGGAGAGACGCCCUGAGGGGAAACAGGCCGCAGUGAAGAGUCUCAAGCAACUGUUUACCAAAAACACAGGUCUAUGCUAAGCUGAAAGGCGACGUAUAUGGGCUGACACCUGCCCAGUGCCGGAAGGUUAAGAGGAGGAGUGAGAGCUCCGAUUUGAAGCCCCGGUGAACGGCGGCCGUAACUAUAACGGUCCUAAGGUAGCGAAAUUCCUUGUCGGGUAAGUUCCGACCUGCACGAAUGGUGAAAUGAUUUGGGAGCUGUCUUGGCUGGAGACCUGGUGAAGUUGUAAUGCCGGUGAAGAUACCGGCUACCUGCAGUAGGACGGAAAGACCCCGUGGAGCUUUACUGUAGUUUGGCAUUGGGUUCUGACCGCAUGUGUAUAGGAUAGUUGGGAGACUGUGAAGCCAAGGCGUCAGUCUUGGCAGAGUCGUCGUUGGAAUACCAACCAUAUGCCGUCGGAAUUCUAAUCUGGAAACGGAGACAGUGCUAGAUGGGCAGUUUGACUGGGGCGGUCGACUCCCAAAGAGUAACGGAGGCGUUCAAAGGUUCCCUCAGGCUGGAUGGA
RNAcentral lists this ribosomal RNA (2191 nucleotides) under human oral metagenome. RNAcentral's name for it is "bacterial LSU rRNA". It matches the Rfam family "Bacterial large subunit ribosomal RNA", at positions 165 to 2335 of the family's 2925-position model. The record is from RNAcentral.